Salvia splendens (bonfire salvia) is the source of this 656-nucleotide long non-coding RNA. RefSeq lists it as uncharacterized. The transcript has 4 exons. Lineage: Eukaryota; Viridiplantae; Streptophyta; Magnoliopsida; Lamiales; Lamiaceae. The record is from RefSeq and is a predicted model, not a curated record.
AGCAUACUUGUAUUCCUAUUAACUCCAUUUUCACGGUUUCACUUGAGAACUUUUUCCCAAAUCCGAAUAGCCAAAUUUUGCACCAUUUCAGAACCCUAAUAUUUAACGUCUAUGAUUACUGUGUAUUCAAUCCAUUCCAAAGAGGUUUUUGGUGACGUGCGAGCUGCAAUGGCGCAUAUUGCACCACAAGAAGUGGAGUGCAUGCGUUGUUCGUUUUGACAAGAGAAGCCAUGGUUUGUGUAUCGUGAGAGGCUGGCAAAUUGCAAUCAUAACCUAUAAGUUGCUUUAGGUUCAGGACCUAGUAAUGUUGUCAUGUAAUCUUGAACACGAGCUGACUGGAUGAGAUUAACUGGUAAGUUAGUAGGUUUUUAUGGCCUGGGUCUCUUAUAUUUUUACUCCUAAAAAGCAGGUGCUGUAAAAGCUUUUGCUCAAUCAUAUGUACACCUUGAUUGUAUCUAAGUGCAUUAUUUUACAUCUCAUUUUUCUUCUUCCAGUUAUUUUUGGGUUCUUUGUGGAAAGACGAGGGGGCAAAAGGUUUUCUAAGGGGUCUUUUAGGAUGAAGAUAUAUUCUAAGAGGCAACUUUGUUAAAAAUUAAAAUAAGGUUUCGGGUGUUAGAAGCUGGAAGUUCGUCGGAAAUGCAUAGCUGAGAUUCCAG